This 325-nucleotide unclassified non-coding RNA is filed under the name Hevea brasiliensis (rubber tree). The record is from RNAcentral. Lineage: Eukaryota; Viridiplantae; Streptophyta; Magnoliopsida; Malpighiales; Euphorbiaceae.
CUGUUGAAUUCCAUCAGGACCCACUGGGGCAAGCCUUGCUCUCUUAUUAAAACUGGAUAAGGGUGAAAUUUGCCCAUCUUGAUUCUCCCUCUUACCAUGAAGUGAAGCACCAGAAUUCAUAUUGUCGCCAUAUGAGAUCAUCAUGUCCUGCCCAGCAGGGGAAGCUCCUGAAAUAUUAACAUGAGUCCCUGUCCCUAGCUCCUGCAUACUUCUAGGGGUGCCCACCCCCAUCUGAUACCUUGUUUGCUGUGAAACCAAUGGUAGUGCUGGAACAUUGCCAUCAGGUGCAAAACUUCUUGCUCCUAGGGCUAACAUGUUGCUUGGG